Molecule: ribosomal RNA, 495 nt
Filed under: uncultured bacterium
Lineage: Bacteria
Description: partial 16S ribosomal RNA
Rfam family: Bacterial small subunit ribosomal RNA
Source: RNAcentral
UGAACGCUGGCGGCGUGCCUAAUACAUGCAAGUCGAGCGAACAGACGAGGAGCUUGCUCCUCUGACGUUAGCGGCGGGCGGGUGAGUAACACGUGGAUAACCUACCUAUAAGACUGGGAUAACUUCGGGAAACCGGAGCUAAUACCGGAUAAUAUAUUGAACCGCAUGGUUCAAUAGUGAAAGACGGUUUUGCUGUCACUUAUAGAUGGAUCCGCGCCGCAUUAGCUAGUUGGUAAGGUAACGGCUUACCAAGGCAACGAUGCGUAGCCGACCUGAGAGGGUGAUCGGCCACACUGGAACUGAGACACGGUCUAGACUCCUACGGGAGGCAGCAGUAGGGAAUCUUCCGCAAUGGGCGAAAGCCUGACGGAGCAACGCCGCGUGAGUGAUGAAGGUCUCCGGAUCGUAAAACUCUGUUAUUAGGGAAGAACAAAUGUGUAAGUAACUAUGCACGUCUUGACGGUACCUAAUCAGAAAGCCACGGCUAACUACGUG